Molecule: long non-coding RNA, 302 nt
Organism: Neomonachus schauinslandi (Hawaiian monk seal)
Lineage: Eukaryota; Metazoa; Chordata; Mammalia; Carnivora; Phocidae
Exons: 3
Source: RefSeq, a predicted model, not a curated record
GAUGGCUGGGCCCAAAUGCAACUCGCUUACGGCGUGUUUGACCAAGGGCUCGGCCACCCUCCUUGAGAUUCCCAACCCAAAGAAGGGACCUCCUUCACCAUAUACACCUGUCAGGACCUGGAAUGGGCUGAGGUUGGAGUAAAAGACUGGAAACUCCGGAAGAACCUUCUGAAUAAAGCAAGUCAAAGAAGAGCAAAUAAUUUAUGGCAAAUUAAGCUAUUAUAAGCCAAGAAAUUUUGUUUCUGUGAUCAGUUAAGUUCAAUACAGACCACUGGAUAACAAGCCAGUCUUUCUGUUCCUAU